GAUGAAGAACGCAGCGCAAUGCGAUAAGUAAUGUGAAUUGCAGAAUUCAGUGAAUCAUCGAAUCUUUGAACGCACAUUGCGCCCAUUAGUAUUCUAGUGGGCAUGCCUGUUCGAGCGUCAUUAAGUCCACUUAAGCCCUGCUUAGUGUUGGGAGACUGCUCCAGCGGUGCUACCCUGUAGCUACCCUGCAGCUCCUCAAAGACAGCGGCGGAGUUGUGGUAUCCUCUGAGCUUAGUAACUUGUUCUAGCUUUCGAGUACACCACUUCCCCUGCCGUAAAACCCUUAAUUUUUAAUGGUUGACCUCGGAUCAGGUAGGAAUACCCGCUGAACUUAAGCAUAUCAAUAAGCGGAGGA
This 355-nucleotide unclassified non-coding RNA is filed under the name soil metagenome. Its description in RNAcentral is "partial contains 5.8S ribosomal RNA, internal transcribed spacer 2, and large subunit ribosomal RNA". The stretch from base 1 to 120 matches the Rfam family "5.8S ribosomal RNA", at positions 35 to 154 of the family's 154-position model. The record is from RNAcentral.